UACGGGGGGGGCAAGCGUUGUUCGGAAUUACUGGGCGUAAAGGGCUCGUAGGCGGCCAACUAAGUCAGACGUGAAAUCCCCAGGCUUAACCUGGGAACUGCGUCUGAUACUGGAUGGCUUGAAUUCGGGAGAGGGAUGCGGAAUUCCAGGUGUAGCGGUGAAAUGCGUAGAUAUCUGGAGGAACACCGGUGGCGAAGGCGGGUCUCUGGGCCGAUACUGACGCUGAGGAGCGAAAGCGUGGGGAGCGAACAGG
RNAcentral lists this ribosomal RNA (253 nucleotides) under uncultured bacterium. RNAcentral describes it as "partial 16S ribosomal RNA". It matches the Rfam family "Bacterial small subunit ribosomal RNA", at positions 524 to 776 of the family's 1533-position model. The record is from RNAcentral.